Molecule: transfer RNA, 64 nt
Filed under: Cavia porcellus (domestic guinea pig)
Lineage: Eukaryota; Metazoa; Chordata; Mammalia; Rodentia; Caviidae
Rfam family: tRNA
About the family: Transfer RNA (tRNA) molecules are approximately 80 nucleotides in length. Their secondary structure includes four short double-helical elements and three loops (D, anti-codon, and T loops).
Source: Rfam by way of RNAcentral
GGGGACUUAGCUCAGCGGCAUAAGCGCCUGCCUUGCAAGCAGGCAGUUGUAAGUUCAAUCCCCA